This 620-nucleotide long non-coding RNA is filed under the name Ornithorhynchus anatinus (platypus). Its description in RNAcentral is "lncRNA (ENSOANG00000035212.2)". The record is from RNAcentral. Lineage: Eukaryota; Metazoa; Chordata; Mammalia; Monotremata; Ornithorhynchidae.
UACUCAUUAUCCAAGGAGGAGGGAAAUGGACAGAAUUUUGUUUCGUUUUGUUUUUCCGUAGGGCGAUGGCGUGUUCUUGAUUGGGACGUUUUGUACAGUGGCAGCUGAUCCACCUUGAAACAACAGGAGUACAUCCUGCAAAUGUAGCUGUCACCAAUGGAAGGGAGCAGUUCAGAUGGCUUGCUUUGGGACGAAGACCUCAUUUAAGGCACCAAAGGCCGUUUCCAUUUCACCUUCUGCAUUACUCGGAAGCAUGAAAAAGAGGUGUGUGAGACAUUUCCUGUUGAAAAAAGGCUACCAAAGUCCCUUGCAUCGUGUUGAAAGGAAGGAAAGAACUUCAUUAUCAUCACCAUCAGCGGUAUUUAUCGAGCGCUUACUGUGAAGUACGGUGCCUGGCACAUAGUAAGCAAUGAACAGAUACCAUUAAAGGACAGAAAGCAAAAGAACAAAUGAGGACAGAGCUCUGUACUAAGCACUUGGGAGAGUAUAAUGCUAACAGAAAUGGUAGACAUGCUCCCGGCCCGCAGCAGAGUUACAGUUCGGAGAGAACAUGAAACGCUCCAAGAAUUUGCAUUUCAUUCUCGAAAUGCUCAUCGAGACUGUGGGAUGCCACCUACGUG